GACGAACGCUGGCGGCGUGCCUAAUACAUGCAAGUCGAGCGAAUGAUGAGGAGCUUGCUCCUCUGAUUUAGCGGCGGACGGGUGAGUAACACGUGGGCAACCUGCCCUUUAGUUUGGGAUAACUUCGGGAAACCGGAGCUAAUACCGAAUAAUACUUUUUCUUCAUGGAUGAAAGUUAGAAGAUGGCAUCUCGCUAUCGCUAAAGGAUGGGCCCGCGGUGCAUUAGCUAGUUGGUGAGGUAACGGCUCACCAAGGCAACGAUGCAUAGCCGACCUGAGAGGGUGAUCGGCCACACUGGGACUGAGACACGGCCCAGACUCCUACGGGUGGCUG
Molecule: ribosomal RNA, 333 nt
Filed under: uncultured Bacillota bacterium
Lineage: Bacteria; Bacillati; Bacillota
Description: bacterial SSU rRNA
Rfam family: Bacterial small subunit ribosomal RNA
Source: RNAcentral